CCUGGUGGCUCAGAUGGUAAAGCGUCUGCCUACAAUGCAGGAGACCGGGGUUCAAUCCCUGGGUCAGGA
RNAcentral lists this transfer RNA (69 nucleotides) under Bos taurus (domestic cattle). It matches the Rfam family "tRNA". Rfam says of the family: Transfer RNA (tRNA) molecules are approximately 80 nucleotides in length. Their secondary structure includes four short double-helical elements and three loops (D, anti-codon, and T loops). Further hydrogen bonds mediate the characteristic L-shaped molecular structure. tRNAs have two regions of fundamental functional importance: the anti-codon, which is responsible for specific mRNA codon recognition, and the 3' end, to which the tRNAs corresponding amino acid is attached (by aminoacyl-tRNA synthetases). tRNAs cope with the degeneracy of the genetic code in two manners: having more than one tRNA (with a specific anti-codon) for a particular amino acid; and 'wobble' base-pairing, i.e. permitting non-standard base-pairing at the 3rd anti-codon position. RNAcentral also lists the same sequence under 5 other names. The record is from Rfam by way of RNAcentral. Lineage: Eukaryota; Metazoa; Chordata; Mammalia; Artiodactyla; Bovidae.